CGCGCAGGCGCAGUCGGCCUGUGGGGGUUGGCCCCAAAGAUAUCAUUGGUUGGCCCGAGCACAGCCACACGCGCAGGCGUACUAGAGGCGCAGCAACGGAACGGAUCCGGGCUGAGGGGCGACUGCAGGAGAACACGAUGCAGUUUAUGCUGCUAUUUAGUCGUCAAGGGAAACUUCGACUGCAAAAGUGGUAUGUUCCCCUUUCAGACAAAGAGAAGAAAAAAAUUACAAGGGAGCUGGUCCAGACAGUCCUAGCACGUAAACCAAAGAUGUGCAGCUUUUUAGAAUGGAGAGACCUGAAGAUUGUGUAUAAAAGGUAUGCAAGCCUUUAUUUCUGCUGUGCUAUCGAAGACCAGGACAAUGAGCUCAUAACACUGGAGAUUAUUCAUCGUUAUGUUGAACUACUAGACAAGUAUUUUGGAAGUGUUUGUGAGCUUGACAUUAUCUUUAACUUUGAGAAGGCUUAUUUUAUCUUGGAUGAGUUCCUGUUAGGAGGGGAAGUUCAGGAGACUUCAAAGAAGAAUGUGCUGAAGGCAAUUGAACAAGCUGAUCUGUUGCAAGAGAACCAAAAUGAAGACUGGGGAAGUUUGUCAGCUGACGAUAUCUUAUGAUUGAAAGAAAUCUUAGGCUAUUGGCCUGUUAUGGCUCCCCAUCCAGACCAUUGCCACGCCACGAAUAUUUUAAUGUUCCUGUAUAUUAAUGCCGUGGCUCAUCCUACGUGGUGAAUCGGAGGAGGUGACCGUGUCUGCUUGCUGUCGGAAUGCUUUCCUGGGCUCCUAGGCUCUGUGAAGUUCACAUGAAUGUUGUACAAAUACUUAGAUGUAACGGGAACAUCAGUACUUUGUCAUCUAGCCGCCUGGUACAUGUUUGUGUUUUGCUCAUUUUAACCUUGUUCUGUGCUAUCCUAGUUCCAAUUGUAAAGCAACAUUAAUUGCAUUUGGUUUAAUGUCUCAUUGCAUGUUGAGUCUAUCUCUGUAAGGUUUAACACAGUUUUAAUGUGCACCAAGCAGGCCUGAUACUGCUAUAUUUGGACAUCUCUGAUCAUCUAAGAUUCUAAAUUUAAUACCAACUUUUUCAAACAAAAGUAUGAUACACCAUAUUCAUACAUGGUAAAUGAUGCCUGCACAAGGUCUUGCUAAUGUCAAUUAGAGCUGGUGUCCUAGACCACAAAAGUAACAAGUUAGAGUUUUGUUAAUUAUAGUUCUAUCAAUUGCGCCAUUUCUUAUUUGCCAAGAUCGAACCAGCUAGGUUAAAAGCUAAUCAAAAUUUAGGCUGGUUUAAAACUGUUUUACUCUUGACUCAUUAUAAGAUGUCUGAAAUGUUGAGUUAUAUUGCACUCCUGUCUUUUUUUUUUGAUGCUCAGAAACAGCCACUAACCUGGCUAUAUUUGAGAUUAAUGUUGCAAAAGAGCUCUAAACUGUUAAUUCCAAUCUUUCCAACACAAUCUGCACUUUUUAUUUCAUCACCCGCUGUAUUUUCACAUUCAUUGUUCAUCUGUACAGCAAAUGAGAUGCUUGCUAAUGCUAGGUUAGUUAACUCCGUGCAUAAAGGGCAGGUUCAGGGUGUUACGAGGAGCUGAAAGAUAAUUUUUAACCACAGUUUUUUUUUCAUAUCCGUGGUUUCUUCAGGGUGGAAAGGUCCAUUCUCUCAUUCCUUUUGCUCUGAUUUUUGUACUUGUCACAACUCUGCAAUUCUUCCCAUUUAAAAAAAAAACACAAGGCCAUCUCACACAUUCAGUUCUGUGCUAAGUGUUUAAGCUUGGUGUUUUGUAUGUUUGCAAUACAAAAAUAUUUAUGUUGUUGGAGAAACUAUUUUUAAAACAACUGCUUGCUCAGCACCACAGCGUACCAAUUAGCAAUACUCUGGUUCCCUCGAGUAUCAUUGUGUGUGUCUAUUAAACCACUAUCCAUGUGGUAUGUUCAGAUUAAGAGGACAGGAAUACCCAAGUCCUAUUUAUCCAAAAUGUAUGCUGCUUCCGCAGUAAUUUUUGCCACCUACAUUUUAUUCUGUGGCAUUGGUGUAAGGAGCCAUGCCAUUCAAAUUGGAUUAUAUACUAAUCUGUUUAAAUGUUAAUAACAUAAUUGUAUCCUCAUCUUUGUAAUCCCAAAGCCAUUUGAUAUUUAUUGGGUAAAAUAUAUAACUUAACAGUGUAUUUUGCUUUAAUGCAGGAGUUCUUGAAUUAUGCUGCUAGCCAUUUAGUAUUUGUAUAUUUUUUUAGUUUUCAGUUUGGUGCUGAUACUUAAUUUUUCCCUCCUUUCCUUUCUCUUCACCUUAUCAAUGUGGUUGGUAGAGGAUGUGAAUUUUCUUCCAUGGUUUGAAAAGUGGAAAUGAGUUCCAGUGAGUUGUCAUAGGCAGUUCACGAGGUUAUGUGACUGAAGCAUCAGAGAAGGAAAGUUGAAAAAUAACUAAGUGCUGAGGGAAAGGCAGAAUGGUCAAUGUUAGAGCUGUAAAAGUAAGGAUAGUUGAUUAGCUGUCAAGAACAGUAUCUCAUUGCCUAGCUCAGGCUGGAUUUCAUCUUCCAUGGUCUUUCUGGAUAGAACUGUAACUUGAGGAUUUCUGUAUUAAGUACAUUUGCGAUAAGAUUUCAAUUGAAAUAAUGUGAGAGAGAAGAUCAUUGAUUCCCCCCCCCCCCCCCCCCCCUUGCUGCUUCCUCCUUGGCCAUUUCUGUGCAGGUAGCAGCAAUUUCGACUUGAUCUGAGCAAAAGUGUUAUAUUCAAAUAUCCCAGAAAAUAUAUCACUACCCAAGUAGCAGGAAACAUUCUGGACUACUAUAUACAUUUUAUAUUAUGUAACUUAGUUAGCUGAAAUCUUUUGGUUCUUAAAUGUUGUAGUAUUGGUGUAAUUAAAUGGAUAUAAUUGCCUUUCUCAUUUUGGUGAUUUGGAAUAGAGUAAUGUAAUUCCUAUGUAAAUUUAGCCCCCCUUUUUUUAAAAACCUGACUGUGCAUCGAAUAAAUCUUUUACAUUCAUGUCUCUGAAAUUGCCAUCUAGACAUAGAAAUCAUCUAAAUACUAUUUUUUGUCUGAGUUAAUUAAAUUUACAGCCAGUUCAAAAGCAAUUAUUCCCUUCCCAAUUCGUAUUAGCUUUGUCUAACAAGUGCAGCCCCUCAGAAAAUCUAACCGUGCAUGAUUUCCUUUCUCGGAGCUGGGAUUCAGCCAACUCUGUCAACUGGUAACCCUGGAAAUGAAAACCUCAUGCAUAUUUUACUCCAUUGUACUCCCCUUACUAGGUCAAGUUAUAGCUUGCUUUUGUAUGCAUAGUUAAAGGUGAGCUGAUUCAGUCCCAUCAUUUAAAUGAGAGGAAAUAGCUUGCUAAGUCCAAAGUAACCUUGAAAAAUAUCAUUUAUUGUAGACUGCUUGUUCUCAUGAAACCUACAACUAAUUUGCACACACUAAUUUAUGUAUUUUCAGUGAUGACCAUCUAUAGUGUUUGCUAAUCGUUUGACUUUCUAAAGGCUGGUGUAGUCUUAAGUGAAGCAUUUGUUAUUUGUACUUUAUUUUAGCUUCAUUUAUUUUAUAUUUAACAGUAAGUAUUUGUACUAUGAUUGGAUCAGUAGUUUCAAGUUGCACCCUAGCAGUACUAUCUAUAUCAGUGAGAGGGAAAGAAAGAAGUACUUUAGAUAUGUUAUAAUGUACAGAGACACAUUUUAGACGGUAAUAUUCUGUUUUCAAAGUUCAAUCGUUUAAUGCCUACUUUACACUAACAUUUGUUUGCUUUUGCAGUCUGCUGUGAUUGGCUUUUGUUGCUAUGCAUUAAGCUCACUGAAAUUGUUAUUUUAUUUGUGAUUGUAAAAAGCUUGCUUUAAGUUUGUGUUCUAUUGUGUUCAAGUGCACGGUUCUGGCAUGUUAUAAAUAAAAUAUUCCUGCAUGC
This is an RNA transcript of Leucoraja erinaceus (little skate), 3867 nucleotides long. It is a transcript of the gene named AP-1 complex subunit sigma-2, with no coding region annotated. Lineage: Eukaryota; Metazoa; Chordata; Chondrichthyes; Rajiformes; Rajidae. The transcript is spliced from 6 exons. The record is from RefSeq and is a predicted model, not a curated record.